GUAUUUAUAUUUAAAAUCAUAUAUUCAAUCAAAACAGUAAUCUCAAAUUCAGCAUUAAUCAAAUCUAAAAAUAAUUAUUGGAAAAGAAAAAGGAAGAAAAGGAUCAAGAAAAACUCGUGUAAGCUGGAAAGAUUAAAACUCUAUAAAUAUAAUCUCCACUAAUAAUCAAAAUAAGUGGUACAUAAAUAACUCCAAUGUAUAUAAAUAAGGACAGUGAUACAAUACAACUCACAUACAAAACCUCAAUUUAUUUUUCUGAAACUAAACCAAUGAAUCAAAUAACAAUAAACCUAAGCUCAAUCCAUCAAGAAACCUCUCUCCACGUAGCACAAAUGUAAUAAUAAUAUCUAAAUCUCAUAUGUAUAAACAAUAAAUUAGAAAAAACCAUCUCAGAUCUGGCAAGAAAAGAGUGAGAUCUUCAGUGCUUGAAGAGAGCAAGCAUGGAGAAGAAGAGAGAAGAGCAAAUCACAGCCCCAGACAUCCCCAAAGAAUAAGCUGCUCCUUGAUCUGGAGAUGGUGCUGGUGCCAAAUCUUGAGCUGAAGCAGCUCCGGCAGCUGCAAGAACUGCCACCAAGAGAACAAGAGCCAAGGACUUGAAUGAUGCAGCGGCCAUUGUAUAUCUUGAAAUGAAGAACCACAGAGAUUAAAAGAGAGAGAGAGAUGAGCAAGAAGCAGAUGCGUUUGAUUUUUUGUAAAUGAGAAGUGAAGAGAAAGAGGAAAGCGUUGAAGAUAUAUAUAGGGAAAGAAGACGCGUGGGGGGCCCACCACAGCGAAAAUCGCGGACAGGUGGAUGGCCAAAUUGAAAUUGGGCAAUGAGAAAUCAAAGAAACGGCAGUUCAAGUCCGGCAAGAAAGCGGCUGAUUGUUAAACAAUUUGAACGUUAAUAGGCCGCUGUCAGUUGUCUGCUGUCAACGGCUACUUUUUAAUUGUGUGGGAUCCAAUGCUAAAACGUUGAGUUUCAUGUUUGAAAGGUUCCCAGCUCUAUAACAACUUACCCCAAGAAAACAAAUUUUUUAAUUUAUAUACCUUAAAGAUCGAUUUUAUAUAACUUAAAAAUUUUAAUUAUAAAUAUAAAAAUCACAAAAUUUGAUAAUAAGCCUUAAUUUAAUAAUCGACAAAUAAUUUUUAUUUGUUUAAAUUUAUCACCUUUGUUAAUUAAUGUUAAAUUAAGAGUGAUGCGGAUUUUAAGUAAAUAAAUUAAUUAAUUUUAUGGGUUACGUGUACAUAUGUUCCUUUCAUAGUCUAUUGAUCCGACCCGAUCAAAGUAAUUUUUUCAUUUUUAAUUUUUUUAAAAAAUAAUAAUUAAAAUUUUGUUACAUUUACGACUUUCAUAAGUAUAUCUAAAUUAAUUUUGAUAGAUUUUAAAUUUUUUUAAAAAAUUUAAAACUUCAUUGACAUAAUGAUGUGGGAAAUUGGUUGUGUGAAUUUGGGUUGAAGCUUCAAUGCAGGUCCAAUCAUUUAACAUGUUUGGUUUGUUUUUAUCAUGAUAUACAUCCAUCAAUAAUGCCAAGAGCCACCCGCACCCGCAAUUAUAUUUGUAGAAAAAGUUAAAUUUAACUAUUUUUAUAUUAUUUAAAAUUUUAAAUUUAAGGUCAAUUAAAUCUAAAAAUAAGAAGUUUUAGAUUAAAUUUAUUAAUUUGGAUAAAAAAAACAAGGACGCAAUUUGUUUAAGAUAAAAAGGUUACACAAUAGAGCUAAAAAUAUUAAUUUUUAUUUUAUUUUAGUUUUAAAUUAUCAGUAAAAUAUUAAAAAAUAAUAAAAAAACUUUACUAAUUAAUUUAUAAAAAAAAUAAAUAAUAAAUUAAAUCAUCAAAUAUUUACCCAUCAUUUAAAGGGUAGAGGAAUUCAAAAACAAAACUCAACUAAAAUUCAAAAACAAAAUAAAAAAAUAUUUUAAAACUAAAAAACCACGAUGAGUCUUUCAACUACUUUCUCUUCUCUUUUUCUUUUCUCUUCGCUUCCAUUUUCGUCUCUUUGUUUUUUGUUAAAUUUUAGGUUCACAACAGUGAUUAUCAAGUUGUAUUCUAUAUGCAAACAGGAGAAGGCCUUACUUUCAAAAGUUGGGAGCAUAUCAUCCAAAAAAAAUAUAUCAUCAAAGAUUAUGAAAAAGGAGAAAGAAAGAGAAUGUCAUUAUUGAAGAAUCUUAAGACCUUCGACAAAAAAUGAGCUAAACACUUCCAUUUCACUUUCAUGCAAAGCUAAUCCAACCUCUAUUCCACUUUCUACAUCUCUACUUUCAGUAAGUGAAAUGGCUCUGCUCUUAUCAAUUGAAAUUUCUUCUAUUUUCUUAGGUCUACCCCACCCAAAAUCUGUCUCAUAGAGAUUCAAUUUAGGUGACCCAGAAACCAUAACAUGGAUCUCCGACCCGAAUAACACUUCCCAAUCCAAGAUCCAUCUUUCUGCCCCACAAAAAAUUUCUCUAUCCAAUUUCUUGAUCAUGUCUCCAAUCACAUUUGCAGCAACUAUAAUCCCAUCUUCUCCUUUUAAUUCCCUUCUACUUGCUGUUGAUCUUCCAAAUCCUACACAAUUACCAAAAUAUGAAGCGGGUAUUCGGUAGUCCAACCGGGUUAACCCGCCUGCAAUGAACCCAAAAUGAAUUGGAUCUUCUUCUGAAUGGUAGUUUUCAAGUUGGUCCUUUUGAGUUUGAGCUUUUACUAAGCAAACCCAUGUAAAAGAACAAGUUAAUACAUAUGGAGAUAAAUGGAUAGGCAGUGGCUGACCCUUUUUCUUGCAUUUACUAAUGAUCCAUUUCUUGAUCUUCUCCAUAUCUAGUGAGCUCACAACAAAUGUUGCUCUAACCAUGUUUGAUAAAUCUACAUGGGUUUCAGUACCAAUCACCAUUUCUUGUGAAGAUUUUCUCUUCCAUAAUUCCUUCAAGAAAAUCUCCUCAAGCCCAUAUUCAUCUUUUAUCACGGACCUGUCAAAAGAUGGAGAAGAAUUGAACAAGAAACAAGAAUUUGCACACAGUGAAGCCCAUCCUUUGAUGAAGUUGUUGAAUGUUCUUCCAUCAGCAGCUACAUGGUGAAAUGCAAGCCCAAUACAAAUACCCAUUUGUGGAAAAAUUGUAACUUUCACUGCAAGCAAAGGAAUGAAUCCUUCUUUGCCAGUUGCUACACUAUGAGUCCCCAACUCAGGCACAAGAGGAUAGAACUCAUGCACAUCUCUUCCAUGGUUACUAGUAAAGAACCUGAAAUCUCCACUAGACUCUACAACAGAAAAUGAGACAAAAUCCCCUGAAGUGUAAACAAUCUUGGGCUUGUAAGAAUCACAAGGAGAAAUCACAAGAUUGCCAAGAAAAGGGAAGAAAUGGUUGAGCGCAAGAGAGAGAGAGUGCUUGAGAUUGGGGAGAGUGGAGGAAAUGAAGUGAGAGGUGGAGUGAGAGUAUUCGUAGAAGAAGAGAGGUUGGCUUGGAGAGAAAAAAAGCCAAGGGAUGUCCAAGAAAGUUAGAGGGAGAGUAGUUGGUGGAGAUGAAUUGGGUGGUGGAGAAAUUUUGCAGUGAUCAAGAACUCUAAAAAUGGAGGAUUUUGCCAUGAGAAAGAGAUGGAGAAAUCUCUAGCUUUAAAAAAAAAAGGUGCUUAUGGAAUUUGAUGUUAGGUAAAUUCAUAUAAAAUUUGAUGUAGACAAUGAGUUCAUAUGAAAUGAGUGCUGGGAACUCUCUUUUUUUUUUUUUUAAAUUAAAUUUUACUUUCUUUUGUAUUUAGCUAAAAUUAUGGGCUAUUUUUUUUAAUGUAAUUUAUUUAUUAUAAGUUGAGUUAUUUAAUUUUAAUAAAGCAACAUGGGUAAAGCCUAUGUUAGAAAAGUAAGAUAAAAUUUAUUAUUUUUAAUUAUUUUAAUUAUAAAAUAAUUGUUUGCAUUACUUUAAUACUAAUUUUGAUUUAAACUUAAUUUGAUUGAUCAUUCUCUAUUUUAGAAAUAUAAAAAAUAAAUAGAGAAAAUAUUAAAAAAAUAAAAAUAAAUGUCUAAAUUUGUAUAUUUCUAGGGUUAAGAUACAAUAAAAAAUUAUAUUAUAAAAUAUCAUACAGUAAAUUGAAAAUUGUGAACAAACUCAAACCACAUACUCUGCUUUCCUGGGCCAUGAAAUUUCGAAAAAUCUCCCAAGCUAUGAUGGUUAAUAACCACAGACGUUCAGACACGCCAGUUUCCGUACUCUUAAUAAAGGACCCUGUCAGCCUCCGCCAAAUAUAUAAUUUAAUCCUUAAAUUUUAUAUAAAAAAUUAAUUAGUAUUUUAAUUUUUUAUAUUUAAAUUUAAAAAAAUAUAAUUAUUUAAUAUAUAAAUUUUAUAAAAUAGAACUACUCCACCCUUAAAUUUUAUAAAUUAUAAUUAUUUAACUUUUUCGUAUAUCAAAUUUUUAUGAAUAUUUAAUUUAAUUUUAACUCUAAUAAAUCAGAUAAUUAAUAUAUAAUCAAAUUUGAUAUAAAUUAAGGAUGUCAUGUUUUAUAAAUAAUACAUAUAUUAAAUUUGAAUCACAUUUAAAUUUUAUAUAUUAACUAUUUAUUAUUCAAAUUUAUUUAUAUAUAUAUAUAAAUAAUUUAAUAUAUGCUAUAUAUUUUUAUAAUAAUAUUUAUACUUUUUACAUUUUAUAAAUGAGAUAGAUAGAAUUUAAUUAUUUUAUUUUAUUAUUAAAAUUUAAAAUAUAGAUUAAUCAUUUUUAAUUAUAUUUUAUGUAAAUUAUUAAAAUUAAAAUAAAUUUUAAUUAGGUUUGUGAUAGAUUGAGUUAUUGAAUUUAUGAAACGAAUUUGAGUAGAGUGAUGCCAUCACAACUAUGUGCUAUGAUUGAAAUUUGAAAUUGAGAUUUCAUUUUAACAUCAUUAAGUUAAAACAAUUUCAAAUAAAACAAUUCUAAUGUUCAUUCACUAACAUCUGUUUUGACAAGACUAAAAGUUUAAUUUUAUAAAGUACAAUAAUAUUUUUUUUUUUUUGAAAAGGAGGGAUAGAGCCCUUUAAUUUAUUAUACGAUCAUGAAAAAUAUUCAUACAGUCAGCAUUCAAGAGGAGCUUAAUACUAGAUGAAGGCAAAUCAAUAAGACUCAUACCAAAAACUCCACCAUGCACACUAUUCGCAAGAUAAUCAGCUACCAUAUUAGUUUCCCCAUAAAUCAAUUAGGUUUAUAAAGUACAAUAAUAUUUUAAUUAAAUUUUAAAAGUAAUAAUAAUAAAAUUAGAUAUUAUUAUUAUUAAUAAGUCAGUCUCUAUAUUUUUAGAAAUCUAUUAAAACGAUUUUAUUUUUUCUCUCAAUCAAUAAAAUAAAACAGUGCUUUUAUUAUCUUUUUCGUUAAAGAUAAAUAAAAAAAUAGAAAAAAUUUUUUUUUAAAUUUAUUUUAUUUUUAAAUAAAACCUCUUAUUUAGUACUUGAGUACUGUUAUUAUUAAUAAGUCAAUUUUUAUAUUUUUAAAAAUUUAUUAAAAUAUUUUUAUUUUUUUAUAUGUAUAUUAAAAUGUUUUUAUUAUUUCUUUUUAUUAAUAAAAUAAUUUAUAAUGAUAAAAGAUAAAAUGAAAAAAAAUAAAAAAAGCAAAAAAAAUAAAAGGAAAAAGGAGAUGAUGAUGAAAGAAGAAGAGGAAGAGGAGGAGGCAUGUAGGAAAGUAAUUUUUUGCUAUAUGUUUAACGGUAUAAAAAAAUAAAUAAAUUAUUUUAUUAAUAAAAAAAUAAAUAAAUUAUUUUAUUAAUAAAAAAAUAUUUUAAUAAAUUUAUAAAAAUAAAGUGAUUAAUUUAUUAAUAAUAAUAAUAUCUACAAACUAAAUUAUAAAUUUCUCGUAAUUUUAUUAAAAUACAGUCUUAUAGUAAUUCAUUUAUUCAAUUUACUUUUUCUAAAUAAACAGAAAAAUCUCAUUUUUUAUUUUCUUGACUAAUUUGCCCAUAAGAAUAAUUAAAAAUUAGAUAUUUUACCAUGCAAAAAAUUAAGCACCACAAGUAAAUAAACAAUAAAAAAUAUAUAUAAUCCACUUUUAGCGGAAGAAAAACUGUAAUUUACCAAGAAAAACUCAACAAAUCUCCCUAUAUAAUACCCCCCAUGCACCUUAAGUUCUUCAGGCUGCAAAUAAAUUCCACUUCACAGGCAAAUUCGGCUCGAAAAUUUUUGAUAAAUUUUUUUUCCGAUCAUUUUCUGCCGAACUUUGCCUUACUCACCAAUGGAAAUGAAGAAGAUUGCAUGCGCUAUCAUCUUCACUGCUGCCUCCAUGAGUGCAGUGAUGGCUGUGGAGGUUCCUUCUCCUUCUCCUUCUCCUGCCCCAGCACCAACAAGCGCCGCCACCGCUAACUUGCCGGUUGUUGGAUCAUUGAUCGGAGCCUCCCUUGCUUCACUCAUUGCCCUCUACCUCCAAUAAAGAAAAAAAAAAAAAUCAAGAGAGGGAGAGAGAAGUAUACAAAAGAGCUUCAAGAAAAAGAUGUUCUAACUAGCUUUAUUUGGCUACGAUUUUAUUUAUCCUUUGUUUUUAUUUGCUUUUUUUUUUUUUUAUACUUUGAAAAAAUUUUCUCUUCUUCUCAUUUGUUUAUUUCUUAUGUUAAUCGUUUAAAAAAUAAUAAACUCCAACUUAAUUUUUAAAUUCAAUUCGAUUCGCAUUAAUUAUUUAGAUUUAUUUCGAGUAUAUUAACAAAUUUGAUUGUUUUGCACCCUGAACUAAUAUUGAUUUUAUCAUGUGAAUAGACUCUUAAAGGGCCAUUUCCAAAGCCCAAAGCCAACGAUGCAAUAAGAUUUUAAUUUACCCAAAACCAAUUAAACCUAUCGAUGUAUAGGCCGAAGGCCAUAGCCACCUGUGCGCAGCCUGGCCGCCAAUAAAUUCAAGUUCACUUCAAAGUUUCGACUCUGCUCGUAGCAAGGAUUCCUAUUCAGCUGUUUGUAUAUAAACCCUAAUUCUCCUCGCUCUGUUUCUGUGCUUGGGACAAAGCUAGAAUGGCUUCUACUCUGAUCUCCCGCAGGCUUUCUUGUAAGCUCUUAACUCUCUCUCCUUCUUCCUCUGUUUACUCCCAGUUCAUCACUCAUGAAACCCAGAAUCCUGGAUUUAGAUUCUUCACUUACCACCACUCCAAUUCUUCUCCCCCACAACAUGAAGCUAAUCCUAUCUCCAUUUUUGAGGCCCAGGCGCUAAUUGAGCCAAAACCCUCAAAUCUGAGUCACCAUUUUGUUAGAUCGUAUUCAAGUUUUACUACCCAAACCAAAGAUCAUGAUUUUACUCUGUCAACAGUUGAAAAGUCCAGAUGUCUUUCAACUUUUACUAGAGAGAAAUCCCAAAUUCCUGAUUUGAAGCACAGAGAGAUGAUCUCAAGCAUUGAUACCCAGUUAACAAGUCAAAGACCCAGAUACUUUUCGAGCUCAGAUUCACCUUCUGAUUCUGAGAAAUCACAAAAUCAAAGUGAAUAUCCUAGCAAAAUCCCCAAUUUCAAGCAUCAGGAAAUAGAGGGGCCAACUGUGGAAAGAGACCUCUCAGCUUUGGCCAAUGAGACAAGAGAGGUUCUAGAAAGGAUGAUGAAGAACAUCUAUGCUCUGAGCAAAGCUGUGGCGUUUCUGGGAUUGAUUCAACUAGGUGUUGGAGCUUGGAUUUCUUACAUCACCAAAGCAACUACAAUACCAGAGGUUUCAAUACAAAGUUUUAUAGCUUUUGGAUUCCCUUUUACAAUGGCAUUUAUGUUGAGGCAAUCCUUGAAACCAAUGCACUUCUUUAAGAAGAUGGAGGAACAAGGUAGGUUGCAGAUUCUCACACUUGCCCUUCAAGUUGCAAAGAAUUUGAAUGUUUUCUUUGUGAGGCUUCGUAGUGUUUCUUUCUGGUGUAUUGCAGGUGUUUCAGUUGGAGUUUUGUUCAACUUAUUAUCAAAAUAAUUGUCUGCUUGAUUUGUUGAAGUGAUAGUGUUUUGAAUAAUCAUCAUAAUAUAAUCUUUGUUGAGUUUGCCUCAAAUGUGUUGCAUUUAUGAUGUGAAAUUUAAAGAGCUCUUUACUUGAUAUUGAUUGAGCUCUAAAAUCUGCAAUUUUGUAGGAUUGUGAUGCUUGAUUUAUGUGAACAUGGGUUUGAACUUUGGGCACUUUGUGCAUUUCCAUUGGUAGAUAUUAAUUGACUAUAGGAAAGUGGAGAUGGAAUUAGACUAGAUAGAAAAAUACCCACAAGUCUACUCAGUUUAGAAUUAAAAAUUUCACAAAUCAAAUUCUUUUAUUUAGAAUGACAGAAUUCAUUUUCGUAAACAAAACUCUAAAGAUUAAACAUUUGAAAUAUGAUUGGUUCCUACUCAAUCUUGUGUUCAUAUGAACAAAUAUUAUUAUAUUUUUUUAAAAAAUAUUCUUUAAAUAUAAGUUAUUUUCCGUAAAUAAUGAAAGUUAAAGGCAUUUUGGCUAUAAUUACUUUGUGAUCUCAAAGGUUAGAAUAUAUGAUUUGAAAUUAGAAGAAUGUAAUUACUAUGAGGCUUAGAGCUAAUGAAAUAAAGCAUAAUUUCAGGCAUAAAUUCCUUCAUUUCUUAAUUUAGAUCAAAAUCAAAAUGCUUCUUUCUUAAUUUUUCUACCAAAAUUUUUAAAUUUUAUAAUUUAAUCUUAAAAUCAGAAAAGUUCAAUUUUUUCAUUUAAAUUAAAAUGGGGUAAAUUGAAAAUUUUAGACUAAUUUUUUUAAAAAGUAAAUUUAAUUGGCUCAUUUCAAUAAAAGCAUGUGAUAACUUAUAGUUGAUUUACAUUUUGUAUUAGCUAAAUUUAAUGUAGCUCUUGCCAUUCACAUGUACAAUGAUUAAUGGGUUUAUAUUAUAUAAUUUAUUUACUGAAUUCGCAAGCAAGCUGAAAAACGGCAGCGGUAUUCGAUUAAAAUUAAAAAAAUUGAUUAAAUUAAAUUAAUUUAAAAUUUUAGUUUAAUUUUUUAUUGAUUUCGAUUCAGUUUAAUUUUUAAUUUCAAAAAUUUUGAUUAUUUUGGUUUAGUUUGAUUUUAAUCAGAAAAAAAUUAAAAAAAUCGAACCAAAUUGAUUAAUGAUAAUAGUAUAUUAUUUUUAAUAAUAUAGAGAGAUUAAAUCAUAUCGGUUAAAAUAUUUUAAUUAAAUUUUAAAAUAUUAAAAAUAAAGUAUAAAAAUAAAAAAAAUUAUUAAAAAUUUAAAUCGAUGGAAUCAAAUUGAAUCAGAUCAAUUUGUUUUGAUUCGAUUUUUAAUUAAAAUCAGUUUGGGUCGAUUUUUUUAAAUACUAAAAUUUUAAUUUUUAAUUUAUUUAAUUUAGUUUAAUUUUAAAUCAAAUCAAACGAAUAGUAGGAAUUUAAAAAUACUUUAUAUUUAGGAUUUAAAUUUUUUUUAAAAUUUUUUCUAAAGAGUGAAAAGACCGUAUUAUUCAAUCUCUCUUGAGUAGUGAUACAUAUAUAUUUAAUAGCAGUUUAUGAAAAAACAAUUACCAAUAAAAAGAUGCACAUCUGAUGAUCAGUUUUCACCCUUUAAUCAAACAAAAAUCCAAAAUUCAACUGGAAGUAUGCUCCAAUCCACAGCAAAACUGGCUUCGGCGAUCAAAAUCUGGAUAAGUUAACAUACAGAAACUACAAGUUAUCACAUUAAUUAAAUCAAUUUCUAAAUUCACUAAAAUAGAAUUCUGCAGCAACAAGAAAAUUACAGAAAACUUAUUCUUCUUACUCUCACCUAUAUUUGCCUACUUAUAAACUUGGGAUUCACCUCUUCAUAAGCUCUUUGAGUCUUCUAAUCUUAAAAGGUUUUGAGGUUGAGCUUGAGUUUCUAAUACAUGGUUAAAAUUUUUUAGGAAAAUGACUGUAUAGUUUUUGCGAUAUAAAAAAAAUUCAUUAGUUAGUCUCUUAAUUUUGAAAAACACAUUAAAACGUCUCUAAAAUUUUAAAAAAUCUAUUAAUUAGUCCCUUCAUAUUGUAAAAAAUUCUCAACUUCUAAUUUAUGUGGGUUUUGAGAUUUGAUUUAAUUCUCUCUUCUGAUCUCAGAGGAUUUUGAAAUUAAGUCUCUACUACUGGUUAAAGUUACUUGGGUUGUCUUUUCUACUCUUUAUAAGUAAUCUGGUCAUGGUCUGGACACAAACAAAUAAGGGUUGCCAUCCACUAAUCAAUUAUUGGCAAUCCUAAAGCAUGCAGUUGCUAAAGCAAAUAAGGGGGAAAGAGAUCUUACCAUGGAGGAGGAAGAGCUGCAACUUCUGAACCCAUGCCUUCAUCCACAAUGGAGAUGGAGUUGUGUGCUAAUUCGCUUGCAACCCUAUGAAUUACCAAUCAUCAUCAAGAGACCCUACUAUAAUUUAGGAUUUAUAUAGCAAUAUCACAGCAAAAAUCAUAAAAUUAUUAUUUUAAUACUGUUUAAGUAGCGGUUUGACAGUAAUUUGAUACUAUUAAUUGUUGUUUAAGUAUAUAAAAUAACAAUCUAUAAUCGCUACUAUUAAUUAAAUCUCUCUUAUUUCAAUACAAAACAAGAAGACCACGACUUACAGAGGAAAUUGAUUUGGUUGUUCAAGAAUUUGGUGUCUAAUAUCCAAAAUUAGCUUCUUCAAUCCAUUGAAUGCUUCAAGCAGCAACUGGUGCAUCUCCUUGUAUGACUUCCAUGAUACCCAGAUGAGCAGAAUUGCCCAUGAGGCCAAGAGCAGCCAGCCAAAAUAAGGAACAAGCAUCAACAUUAACAUCACUAUCACAAGGGAGCUUGAUAAUAGGCUUAUACUGCCAGCAAUUGUUUGGUAGUUUAAGUGAUUAGCUCUGAGUUUAACUUCAAUGGCCCAUGAUAUGCCAUACAUGAUUAAAGCAACAAUCAAGAUGGGUAUGAUGAUGUUGUGUUUCUCAAAUGCAGACACUUCUUCAAAUUGGUACUUCACUUGAAUCAAGGAAGUUAGUACUGUAAUUAGAAAUUGAUCAGCCCUGUCAACACAAAACAAAAACCUAAAGGAGAAUUAAAAAAAAAAAUUAAUCAAAAGAAAAUUUAAGUAACUUUUUGAAGUUAAAUUCCAAAAUUUUUAAAUAUUGACUUUUAUUUUGAGGCAAAACAAGAUAGAAGGUUGUCGUUUUUGAGGGAUUGGACAAAAAAAGUAGUUGUCUUAUUCUCAAGUAUUUGACAAAACACUUUGUGGUUUUUGGCCUUUUUCUAAGAACAAUCCAAGAUGUCAAUAUACCCUACCUUGUAUUUUGUGUUUUCUACUUCAAAUCUAAGCUACUCCAACAAUAUGAAGGUUUCUCUUUAUUAUUAUUUUUUUCCCAGUCAUAAUGUUCCGAUUCUAUAGUUUCAGCUCAAAAAUCACAGUUUUAGUUUUUUUAGAAUUUUUUCUUUAAAUAAUGAGAAAUUAAGCUAAAGAACUUGCAGGAAAAAAAGUUAUGUAUAAUAUUUAACAAAAACCAAGAGAAAGAGAUCUCAUAGAAUAGAACCAAACCAACCUUUGAGAGGGAAGAUUUGCCAAGAGAUUGUUAUUCAUUUUAAGCUGCUUUCUUUCUUUCCUUCUUUCUUUCUUUUCUGAACCUUUCCUUAACUAAUUAGAUUAUGUUGCUGUUUAAAUAGAAAGUGGGAUUUGUAAGUUUUUGGUUGUCAUUUUUUGUUUGGACAUUAUCUGGUUGCGGCCACUGGUCAGCUGCUUUGUUAUAGUUUUUGGGUGUUGUCUAGGUUUGCUUAAUUAUUUGUAUCUCAUUUUCUGUCUUGCCGACUGUUAAGAUCCAUCUUACUUAGUAUUGUCUUUGUGUGGGAGGCCAAUCAUAUUGUGAGCUUUAGUGGAUAUAUCUUUGCUUAAUUUUUGUAGAAUUCAAUUUUGGACAAAUUAUAUAUGACGGGACACUCAAGAUCCAAUGCCUUUGGUGGUAAAGUGAAAAGUAGCUAGGUCUUAUACUUGCUUUUCCUAGUAAUUAGCUCUCCACUAAAUUAUAGUUGGAGUUAUAGUCUUGCAUUGCAUCAGUGGAGAAGCAUCCAAAAAAGAGAAUUGUCUUUUCUUUUGGCGAAUCAAUCAUUCGCUGUAGGCUUGUAAGAUAUCAGAAGUUUUGGUUUGAUAAAAAUUUAAUUUUACUUGAUUUAUUUUUUAAAUGAGUUAGAUUGAAGCUCUAAUUAUUUAGAAAAAUAAUUAAAUUUAAAUUUGAUAAUAUUUGGUUCGUUAAGAUUGAAAAAUUUAUUCGUUUAAAUUUGCUAACUAACUUAUAAAUAUAUUUAAUCUAUAAAUACUUAACUUGAUUUACCUCGUUUACUAAACGAAUCAGGAUUGAACUUAUUGAUUUUCAAUUUGAGUUUAAAAUGAGUUAAGUUGAAGUUCACGUUGAUUCAAUCUCAAAAAAGUUUUGAUGAAUUAAAUUUAAACUUUUUAAAAUUUAUCUCAAUUCUAGUCAUUUACUCUGCAUAAAGAUAGCAAGUAAGUUGAGUGUUUAUAAUUUUAAAUUGUUUAAUUUUUUUUAUAUUUUGUCAUUUAAGGCACUUUGAAUUAAGUCUAUUACCACCUAAAAUAAUUUAACUAAGCUGAACUGUAUAUUUCUGUUAGUUUUUGUUAAAAUUUAUUAAUUUGUUAACCAGCUUUUCACUCUCCCAUAAACUCAUGUUGUACCUGAAUAUAAUAGAGCAAUAUUGCUCUCUUAAAGUAUAUAAAAAAGUUACCCAAAUAUUGAUUCCUCUUUCUCAACAUGGUAUCAGAGCAAAUGAAAAUUCAGCCCUAGUUCUUGUAUCUCAAGCCUUAGAUGUAACGAACUAUCAUCCUUGAACAAAAAUCAUGAAAAUAACGCUUCUGUCCAAGAACAAGAUCAAGUUCAUUGAUGGAACUUUACCAACUCCUGCGAGAGAUGCAAUACGACUAUGGUUUCUUGGAUCACGAAAUGCCUUUCCCCUUCCAUUGCCCAAAGCAUCAUGUGGAUCGACAAAGCCUUUGAAGUGUAGAAAAAUCUUAAAGAAAGAUUUUCACAAGGAGAUAUGUUCAGAAUCUCAGAUCUGCAAGAAGAUAUCUAUGCUUAUAAAUAAUGUGACUUGGCUGUUACUGAGUACUUUACUGGCCUUAAAAUCUUAUGGGAUGAAAUGUUGAAUUAUAGGCCCUUAUCUGCGAGUUCUUGUAUUAAUCCUUGCAAUUGUGGUGCCAUUGUUACAUUUGAAACCUAUAAAAAAAAUGACUAUGUGAUAUGAUUACUAAAAGGUUUGAAUGAAAGCUUUGCAAAUAUAAGGUCUCAAAUCAUGCUUAUGGAGCAUUUACCAUCAAUUAAUAAGGUGUUCUCCCUAGUUGUUCAACAAGAAAGAUGAAUGAAUACAGGAGACAUUGUUCCAAAAGCAUUUGUCAACAUGAAGAUCAUGAAUAAUGAAAAUUCCUUUCAAAAAGUUCACUGUUAUAAAAGAGGCUCGAAUUUUAGCAAAAAUAGUUCAGGACAUGGCAAGAUUUGUAGUUAGUGUGGAAAGUUGAAUCACACAAUAGAAACAUACUACAGAAAGCAUGGUUGUCCUCCUGGUUUCAAAUUCAGAAAUUCAGGCUCUUCUGCAUACCAGUUUACUGUUGAAGGUUCUGCAACCUGUGAUAUUCAAAGUAUGUCUAUGGCAAAAGAUACUUCUACAUGCACUGGUUCUAAUGCUCUUUUCACAUCCCUUACUCAAAAUCAGGUUCAUCAGAAAUACUAUACAGCUCUAAUCAAGUGAUUACUGGUAAACAGAUCACUUCUCUUACCUAAGGUAAUCAUAUCUCUCUUAAUUGUUUCUGUAAAACAUCUACAUGGAUCUUGGAUAAGGGAGCAACAUACCAUAUUUGCUUUUCACUAUCAUCUUGCUCUAGCCACAAAUGAAUCAAGCCUCUCUUUAUUAGAUUACCAAAUGGCAGUGAAGUGUUAGCUCACUAUUCAGGCACUAUUCAUUUCUCUCCUAAAUUUUAUCUUCUAGAUGUUAUUUAUAUAUCAGAUUUUCAGUUCAAUCUUAUCUCAGUUAUAAAGCUGACAUCUUCUCUUGAUUGUUGCAUAGUAUUUCAUAAAAUGGACUAUUCUAUUCAGGAAAGGAAGUCUUUGAAGAUGAUUAGUACAACUAAGGCCAAUGGAGGCCUUUAUGUCUUGAACCGUUCAAAAAUCAAACAUAGAACAUUUGCAGCAACCUCAAACCCAUUUGAUGUAUGGCAUUUCAGACUUGGACAUCCCUUUAUAACAAGACUUUCUGCACUACAUACCAUAUGUCCCUCUAUCCCAAUAAAAGAAGCUUUUACUGUUUGUGACAUUUUUCAUAUAGCAAAUCAGAGAAAGUUACCUUUUUCUAAUAGUCAAACUACGUUUGUAAAAGCUUUUGAUCUUGUUCACAUUGAUAUUUGGGGUCCCUUUUCAACUGUCUCAAUCAUUGGACAUAAGUAUUUUUUGUCUAUGGUAGCUAAUUAUAGUAGAUUCUCCUGGAUUUUCUUUAUGAAGAAUAAAUAUGAGGUUAGAAACAUUUUACAGUCCUUUGCUCAAUUGAUUGAAACUCAAUUUGAUUUAAGAAUCAAAGUCUUUCGAAAUGAUAAUGGUCCAAAAUUUAGUAUGAAUGACUUUUAUGCAAGCAAAGGAUUCCUGCACAAACAUCAUGUCCUGAAACCCCUCAAUAGAAUGCCAUAUAGAAAGGAAGCAUCAAAACAUCCUCAAUGUUGCUAGAUCUUUAUUAUUCCAAUCUAAACUUUCUAAGUUGUUUUGUUCAUAUGCCAUUACUCAUAUUGUGUUUCUCAUAAACAGGUUACCUACUCUUAUACUUCAUGGACAAUCUCUAUUUUUGGAAGUUGUACCUAAACUCUCCUGAUUAUUCUCUGCUUAAAGUCUUUGGCUCUCUUUGUUUUGCUUUAACUCUUGCCUCAAACAAAUUCAAAUUUGAUCUAACGACAAGAAAAUGUAUGUUCUGUGGAUAUAAACUUGGCAUUAAAGGUUUUCUUCUCAUGGAUCAGAAAAACAGAUAUAAUUUUGUCUCAAGAAAUGUUAUUUUCAUGGAGCACAUCUUUCCUUAUUAAGAAUCACAACCUACUAUUUAAAUUGUCUCCCUUCUUGACUCUCCUACUGAUGCAUAUGAUGAUAACAAUCUUUCAGAUGUCUCAAAUUCACAACCUACAACUCAUCUCUAACCUUUAUCUCAAUCUACAAGAUCCUCUCAUAGGACAAAAAGGACACCUUCUUAUCUCCAGGACUAUUAUUGCAACUUGACUUUAGCCAAUGUCUCCUAUGUUUUACCUAAAACAAACAUCCUCUACCCUAUUGAUUCUGUUUUGUCCUAUAAGUCUCUUUCUUCCUCCCAAUUGCAUUAUACCUUACCAAUCUCUAUGCAUUUUGAACCAUAGACUUACUCACAAGCUGUCAAGCUUGAUGUCUGGAGGGAAGCAAAUCACACAUGGACAAUAGUUAAUUUACCACCUGAAAAAACUGCUAUUGGAUGUAAAUGGGUUUAUAAAAUUAAAUAUAAGACUGAUAGAACAAUUGAAAGAUACAAAGCAAGAUUAGUUGCUAAAGGCUACACACAAACUGAAGGCAUUGACUUUCUUAACACUUUCUCUCAUGUGGCAAAGAUGACAACUGUAACAGCCCGGCCCUUUUCCACCGGCACUGUUACCACUCACAGCCCGGCCCUUUUCCACCGGCCCUGUGAGCAGCUCUUAACAUCCUCUCACCCUCACGGGUUCUUGAGGCAGGAUUUGUCCCUCGGGGGAGCCAGUACGGCCCACCCUGGCCCAAGGGUUUUGGCUUAUGGCACUUAACAAAUGGUACUCACUCUCAGCCGGACCGUCCCUUAAAGUGGGAGGUCAAGGGUUCGAGUAGUGGGGGAGGCGACUUAUGGUGGAAAAGUGCCAUAAGCCAAAACCCUUGGGCCAGGGUGGGCCGUACUGGCUCCCCCGAGGGACAAAUCCUGCCUCAAGAACCCGUGAGGGUGAGAGGAUGUUAAGAGCUGCUCACAGGGCCGGUGGAAAAGGGCCGGGCUGUGAGUGGUAACAGUGCCGGUGGAAAAGGGCCGGGCUGUUACAACAACCAUCAAGACCUUAUUAGCCUUAACUGCCAUACAUGGAUUGUACUUGCAACAACUAGAUGUGAACAAUGCAUUCUUGCAUGGAGAUUUACAUGAAGAAAUCUAUAUAUUUUCUUCCUCUAGAUUUUCAGCCCUCUAAUCAUCAUCAGGUUUGCAGACUCCAAAAGUCUCGGUAUGGCCUUAAACAAGCCAGUAGAUAAUAGUUUUCAAAGCUUUCUCAUUCAUUGAUCUCUUCUUGUUACAAUCAGUCCAAAUCUGGUUACUCUUUAUUUGUUAAAAACACAGAUAACUCAUUUACUGCCAUAUUAGUUUAUGUUGAUGACUUGAUUCUUACUGUAACGACCCGAAAAUCAGACCGCUACCGGCGCUAGGAUCCAGGUCGGCUUAAGGCCGCCGGGACCCGUAGCAAGCCUAACAUACAUCCUGUAUACCUGUUUAAUCCCAUACAUGAUCAACAAUUACAUAAAAAUUUAAAACUUUCUCAUUUAUUCAUUCAUUCGUUCAUUCAUUCAUUCCUUCACCAAGCUUAAUCUGUGCAUGCACAAAUCAUAACAUAAAACCUCUCACUGGAGUUCUCAUCAAAUACUCCAAUGGGGUAUCAUAACAUACCUUAAGCUUAGUUUACAUAAUCAUCAUUAAACAUUUAAGAUCAUGUACUAAAAAGGGAUUAACAACAUACUAUGGUCAAGCACAACUCUAAACUUCCAUAAGCAUCAUUACAUUACAUUUCUAUACUAUACUUUUACAUUACAUCAUAUUCAUGUCCACAUCUAUCUAUUACAUAAAAUAUGACUCUACUCCUACUGACCUCCUGGUUUACCCUGUACCUGCAAACCUGGGGGUUAAGGGAGAGGGGUGAGCUAUAAAACCCAGUGAGCAGAAUAAAUAAACAUUCAGUUUAAAUUUCAUGUUUUCAUGAAAUGUAACACAUCACAAACAAUCACAUCAAGGAUGGACUUGUCACCAAUAGUCCUCUACAUAGUCCAAUCGUGCCAGGGGCGUAGAAUGGGCCUCACUGGUCUUUCUCUUAACAUAACAUAAUAUAGCAUAACAUUCCAUAGUGCCAGGGGCGUAGAAUGGGCCUCACUGGCUAUCCAUACCGUAUCAUCAUCAUACCAUAACAUACGAGGACUAAAGAGUCAUUCAACAUCCAUCCACAUCAUCAUUAAGUUAUGCAAUGCAACAUAUUCGUGAAUUCUAAUGCAAACAACCUAGUAUAUCUCAUGGCAUAUGUGAUGCAUGUAUCAUGCUCAAAAUUUAUUUAUUUGCUUUGAAACAUAAAGAGUUAUUCCACUCACCUCUGGCUGAAGCUCUAAUGACUCUGAAGCAGCUAUCUCACUGCUGAGGUACUUGGUUCCUCGGGUCCAAACCUACACAGGUGGACUCAAAUGAGGUACCAAACAAAGACUAACAUAACUCUAAACUGCUCCCCAAAAACCCCCUAAAACAUCAUAGAAUAACCAUAGAAAUCAUGCAAAGGAAAGCAGAACAGGGCACUUUCGGCGGCAGGUUCGGCGGCUGAAAGUCCCUCCAGAGCCGAAACUCAGCCACUUUCAGCGGCACCUUCGGCGGUCGAAAGUGGGUUCCAGAGCCGAAACUCAUGCAUGUUCGGCGGCACCUUCGGCGGCCGAAACUCCCUUCCAGAGCCGAAAGUCCACUUUCGGAGGCAGGGUUUGGCAGCCGAAAGUUAGCCUCCACAGGCAGGUUCGGCGGCCGAAAGUCCCUUCGGCUGCCGAACCUGAGUUCUCCCAAAGGGGCAGAAACUCAGCUCCAACAUGCACAAAUGCCUCCCAAACCUCCAAAUAUGCAUCCAACCCUCUCAAAUCAUGCAUUCACACAUACAUCAACACAUAGGGGUCUCAAACUAACCUAAACCCCAACAACAACACAAAACAAGCAACUCAGCAACCUACAUUGUCCAAAACUCACAUAAAAACCUAACAAUGUUCAACUAACCUAAAUAUGCAUUUCUACCCCAUGAAUCCUCUUAAAACUUGUUUAAAACAUAGAAUGAGCUCAAGAUCGACUCUUACCUCUUGAAGAUUGAGAGAGAGUGUGACCUAACUUGGAGAUUUGGGGAGGAUGGGUUCCUGAGGUCUCCAAGCUUCACAACUUCGAUCUAAGCUCGAAAUCUUCAAAACCAAGUGAAAACUCAUAAGAAAAUCAUGAAGAUUCGAAGGAAAAAGCUCAAAAUCGAUGAGUGACGGUGGAGAACUCACCUUGGCCGAAAACGGGGAGAAAAGCUCACCCGUUCGGACAUGGGAACCCCUUUAUAGGUGGCUGGCCAGGCCACUUUCGGGGGCCUAACGUGCCUCCGCAUGCAUGCCAUGUUCGGCGGCCGAACCUGGACUUCCCUCUCUCAUACCUUCGGGGGCCUAAAGCACUCCCGAAAUGCAUGUAUGUUCGGCAGCCAAACUUGAGGUUCGGCGGCCGAACCUGGGUCUUCCUCCAAGGUUAUUUUCAUACAAAACUCAUUUCAUUUCUUGCUUAAAACCAUAAAAUACAUUAAAACAUCUUAUGAAAACAUGGUUUUACCCUUCUAGAGGUUUCCGACAUCCGAGAUUCCACCGGACGGUAGGAAUUUUGAUACCGGAGUCUAGCCGGGUAUUACACUUACAGGCAAUGACAUAGCAGAAAUCAACUCAUGAAACAAUUCCUAGAUAAUGUCUUCAAAAUUAAAAAUCUUAGUGCUCUCAAGUUCUUCUUGGAUUUGAAAGUACUCAUGUCCUCAACUAGCAUUCACUUGAGUCAAAGAAAGUAUGCAUUGAAACUUUUGGAAGAGACAUGAUACUUAGGUUCUAAGCCUGCCAAGACUCCUAUGGAUUGCUCUCUUAAACUCUCAAAAGAUAAGAAAAUUCCUCUUACUGAUAUCUCUUCUUACAAAAAGCUAGUUGAAAAUUUAUUUUGCUUAACUACUACAAGGCCAAACCUCUCCUUUGCCACCCAUCAACUAAGUCAAUUUCUUGUUGUCCCAACUAACUUGCAUAACAAGGCUUUACAUAAGGUGUUGAGAUAUAUAAAGUAUGCUCCUAAUCAAGGGCUCUUCUUCCUGUCUUCCUCUAAAUCAAGCUCGCUGCCUUUAGUGACUCAAAUUGGGGCAGUUGUUAAGACACUCAUCGGUCUGUUAUAGGAUUCAAUAUUUAUUUAGGCAACUCCCUCAUUAGUUGAAAAUUCAAAAAGCAAAGUGUUGUAUCUCAUUUUUCCUCUGAGGCAGAAUAUCGAGUACUUGCCUCCGUUGCUUGCGGUUUACAAUAGAUAUUGUACCUUCUGCAAGACCUUCACAUCUCUCAUUCGCAACCAGCUAUUAUAUAUUAUGACAACCAAUAUGCUCUCCACAUUGCCAACAAUCCAACCUUUUAUGAAUAUGCAAAACAUAUUGAGAUGGACAAUCACAUUGUACAAGACAAAGUGCAACAAGGUUCCUUGAAGCUUCUUCUUGUUUCCUCGCAUACAUAGCUCAUGGACAUUCACUUAAAACCUCUUGUAGCUAGUCCCUUCAAUGCUUUAAUACUCAAGCUGAGAAUGUCAAAUAUUUGUUCUCUAACUUGCGUGGGGUGUUACCACCUAAAAUAACCUAAUUAAGUUGUGUUGUAUAUUUAUGUUAGUUUCUAUUAAAAUUUGUUAAUUUAUUAACUAGCUUUUUCCUCUCGAGUAAACUCAUACAGCAUGUGUUGCACCCGUAUAUAAUGGAGCAAGAUUACUCUCUCAAAUGAUAUGAAAAAGUUAUCCAUGUAUCAAAUUAUUAAUUUAACUUUUGAAUCAAAAUUCAAAUUAAUUGAGUGAGAUAAAUAAAUUAAUUGAGUGUCGAUAAAAAAUACAUUUAAUUUGUUAUACCAUUUAUUUAAAUUUAAAUCAUUUUGAAGUCGUGAAACAAAUCAAAGUUAAAUUUAAAGGAUCAAAUUAAAAUUUAAUACAUUUUUAAGUAAAAGGUAUCUUAAUUUUAGUAUACAAGAAGCAGGCGAUAUUUCCAUGAACAUAUAUGAAGAUAUCAUGUUUACAGCAAUCUAACAAAUGCAAGAGGUCAGACUAAGUGUAGUUUAAAGAUACUACUUUGACAUAAUCGGAGGUUGUUUACAAUUUAUUAAUUUUUGGAACUAACACUAUAUUAUUCCAAUUUAUUAGUUUAUGAGGUCAACUUUGACCUAUAUAUUUAUAGGUUAUUGCCUAUUGGUUUGUCAUGCAUAAAUAUUUUCCUACAAGUAGUAUUAGAGAAUUAUAAUUUUUUAUAGGGAGAUUUACAAUUUACUCUCUGGAUAUUGCUAUUAUUAACAGUUAGUCCCUAUAUUUUCAAAAACCUAUUAAAAUGUCUAUAACUUUUCUCUCCGUCAACAAAAUAGUCAUUACUUCUAUUCUUUCUAUUCUUCUUUUUCUUCUUUUUCUUCUUCUUCUCCUUCAUCAUCAUCUUCUUCUNNNNNNNNNNNNNNNNNGGACUAUUCCAUUCACGAAAAAAAACGAUGAGCACGUUUUAAUAGAUAUGAAAAAAGAUAAGAAUAUUUUAGUAAAUUUUUGAAAAUGUAGGGACUGAUUUGUUAAUAAUAAUAAUAUUCAAAAAUUAAAUAAGGGAUUUUAUUUGAGGGUAAAAUUGGAUUUUAAAAAUUUUCUCUCUCAUCCUUUAUUUAUUUUUAACGGAAAAGAAAAGGAAAUGACUAUUUUAUUAACGGAGAGAAAAAAUAAAAAUAUUUUAAUAGAUUUCUAAAAAUAUAGGAAUUAAUUUAUUAAUAAUGACAAUAAUUAAAGAUUAAAUAGUAAAUCUUUAUUUUUUAUUUUUUAUUUUACAAAAGUGUUUGAAUUUAUAACUUUCUAAAAUUCAAGUAAGUGAAAUUCCGUUGACUCGGAAUAUUAGUUACUCAACGGGCUAAUAAAAUUUCAAUGAGUGAUUUUAUGUAAAAUAAAAUUACAAAAAAUAAACUAAUAGACUAGGUACAAUAAUAAAUAUAUAUAUAUAUAUAUAUGAUCAGUUUUUAAUAAAAAAAAAAAACGCUUUAUUGUUAUUAAUACGUAUUUUUUUAUAAUUUAUUUAUUAUAAUAAAUAAAUAAAAAAUUUUAAAUUCUCUAUACACAAUUAAUGUAUCCGCUCUUUAAUUCCCAUUCUCUUUUAUUAAAAAUAUUUAUUGCUAUGUAUUUUAUAAAAAUAACUUAAUUUCAAAUACCUAAUUCUCUUAAUCAUUCGUGGGGUGUUGAACCAUGGCAACCCCAACUCUAACAUUAACAUAUACAAGUCCCUUGGCACACUCAACUCCAGUUCCCGACCUAUUCGGGAAUUCACCCUCAAAAAGCUGCAAAUCAGAACCACCAUUCAACUUACCAGACACAUUUGCAGCCAAGCUAAAGAAGCUCCCAGAACUUGUGCAUGCACUCAUUUCAAUUUGCUUGCCACAUUGGCUUCCACAUCUGCCACAGAAGCCCAUGAAGCUGCAAAUUUUUUUACAUACAUAAUGCUUUUGCUUCAGUUUAUAUAGUGGUGGGGAGGAUUGGCGUUAUGUUCUAUUCCUGACUAUGGCUGAGCUGCUCAGAUCUGCAGUCGUUUUCAGGUUUUCUGGUCACCAGUAGCGAACAAAAGAACAUGCAGGAUUUUGAAUUUUCGUGCAAGCCAAAUUCUUUAGAUGAUUCCUAGGAAUUUGUUUAGAACAAAAAUAAAAUCUACUGGUCCCGACACUACUUUCAUAAUUGCGAUAAUUACUAUAAUAUUAAUUUCUUUAAGUUGGAGAUGAAAGCUAUGAUUAAGUUUUAUCUUUUAAUGUUUGUAUUUUUGUUUACAAGCCUAUUAAAUGGCUGGUUCAGAUUAUCAUCUGGCAUAUGUACAUGACAAAUUAAAGGAUUCUAGAUUUUGAGUUGGUAAUUGUAGAUUAAAUUACCAAAACAUCUUAACUUAUUAAUAAUACAAUAGUAGAAGUCGAAUAGUUUAAUAUAUUUUUAAAAAAUAAUGAAAUUAUUAAUAAUGGAAAAUUUAAAGCCUAAAAGUAACUAUUUAUUUAAAAUUUGUCUAAUGAAAUAUGCUAUAAUAUAAUUAUAAAAUAGAAAGACUAGAAGCGUAUGAUGAAAUCAAAGCUUAUUAAUAUUUUAAUAAGUAUCUUAAAAUAUAAAGGUGGACUUAUUAAUAAUGUAUACUCCAUUUGAAAUUUGAUUGAAUUAAAUUUAUAUAUGGGUAAAGUAAGAAAUUGCCAUCUUCAGAUUACCUAUUAGCUAGGCAGAGACUAUGCUUUUAAUUCUAAAUUUCUAAUAUUUUAGCAAACUCUUGAUGUAAGUUUUGAGUAUAAGAUUGCUAGUCCUUAAGUGUGUAAUGUAUUUUCAGUUAUAGAUAAUUUAAUUUUUUUAAUAUUGAAUAUCAAUUCAUUCUUGAAAAUUACAAUUAUGAAUUAAUGUGCAUAAUUAAUUUAUUUAUUUUCUCACCUAAUUAUGUGAGUUUAUAAUCUGUUUUCUACUUUUAUCAUAUAAAUAUUGAUGUAUCCCGGUACACCUAUAAGUUAUAAGCAAAUUUAGUUAUACAACACAUUUGAAAUAAAGCUUGAUUCAAUUAUGAAAGUUUGAAGCCUGCAGAGUCUGACGAUUACAAUCAACAUAAGCCAAAAUCAUUGAGCUUGGACAUACAUCCACCAAUCCAGUACUCCUCCAUAGACCACAAAUGUAAAAGACCUUUCUUAAAAAUGUUUAUAAAUAUUGCCGAGUUUUGUCCAACUAUGAAAAUUGGAAAAUCCAAUCCAGAAUAUAACAACUAUAUUAUAAAUGCAGAAACGCACCCAAGCUUGUCUUUCAAUGUCAAAACAAGGUUGAGUUCUCAUAUGGGUAAAAAGCAUUUGGCAACCAACAACAACGUUAGAAUAUGCAGAUACAGAUGCUACCCAAUUACAAAGUUGUCUUUUCUUUUUCAUUUUUCAUUUCCUACUUUCUGUUUUUUUUUAUAUAAAAAAAAAAAGAAAUUGAAAUAAAAAUAAGAACCCUGCAACAAAAGAAAAACUACGUACCCAUCCACCCUAUUCACAAAUUUCCAUUAACGAUGUAGAUACUCUCAGGGGCCAGACAACUAGGCAGCCAGUGUCCAUUGUCUCUUUCCAAUUGUAUUUGUAAAAACACCCAGCCCCAUAAAAGAACCCAAAAAUAUUUGCUAAAAAGAGAAACUCUUCCAUACUCCUGAGAUCUCCACCAGUUCUGGCAUAUAUGUUCUUCACCAUAUACAGAAGAUCGAUACUCUGAUGAAUAAGUGAAACCAAUGGAUUUGUAACAGCCGCAGUGUGAAAACACUCCAUGCAGUGCAAUUCCUCGCACUUGCAAUCCGAACAUUUGAACAAAGGAAAAUAUGCAUUGUUUGAUUUAGUGGUACCCGAAUUCCCAUCAGGUUUUAGGCUCUGUUCGGACAUAGGUGAGACUCCUGGCAGUAGGGGACACAAGACUGUUUGGGACUGGAGCCCCACUCUCACCUGGGUUGCCUUGAGCAUCUCGCUUCCACUGCAAACUUCUGGCACCAAGUUUCAUGGGAGGGCGAGACCUAAAUGCUCCAGGAAUACCUCGGGGGAAAGGAACUCUUGCAAACCUACCACUAGCAUAUGGAGAGCCACGGGCAAUUCGGGGCCAUGUCAUGAUAGGAGUAGCUUCUUGGUGGGUAGGGCUUCUCUUUACAACCUGCAAGAAGAAAACAGCUUUAAGAAUCCACGACACAUCU
This 23489-nucleotide long non-coding RNA is filed under the name Manihot esculenta (cassava). RNAcentral's name for it is "long non-coding RNA (MESC_LNC006292)". The record is from RNAcentral. Lineage: Eukaryota; Viridiplantae; Streptophyta; Magnoliopsida; Malpighiales; Euphorbiaceae.